CUUGCCAGCCUCCAAGUUGUUGAACACAAAACAGUAGACACCAAUCCUUUACUCGGAGUACCAGUUCCUGGAAUAAACAAAGAAAGUAAAAGCAUAACUAAUAUCACCAAUUGAAAGUAGGAACAGAGUCAUACCAAAGGAUGAUGCAUGAAUCGAAAUCCAUAUCAGUAGAAUACCCUUAAUCACCUGAAAAAACCCAAACCAGCGAUAAUUAAAUAACUAAAACCAAAGGAUGAUAUCCCAAAUUCAAGCACAUAAAAGUAAAUUAGAUGAAGAAAGAAAGCGGAAAUGAGAGAGUGGGAGAGUGAAUGAGCGGCUGAGGAGUUAAGGUGGGUUUGGGGAAAACAAAAUUGGGAAAUGG
This 361-nucleotide long non-coding RNA is filed under the name Daucus carota (carrot). RNAcentral's name for it is "long non-coding RNA (DCAR_LNC005343)". Lineage: Eukaryota; Viridiplantae; Streptophyta; Magnoliopsida; Apiales; Apiaceae. The record is from RNAcentral.